CCUACGGGAGGCAGCAGUGGGGAAUAUUGCACAAUGGGCGCGAGCCUGAACCAGCCAAGUAGCGUGAAGGAUGACUGCCCUACGGGUUGUAAACUUCUUUUAUAAAGGAAUAAAGUGAGGCACGUGUGCCUUUUUGUAUGUACUUUAUGAAUAAGGAUCGGCUAACUCCGGGCCAGCAGCCGCGGUAAUACGGAGGAUCCGAGCGUUAUCCGGAUUUAUUGGGUGUAAAGGGAGCGUAGAUGGGUUGUUAAGUCAGUUGUGAAAGUUUGCGGCUCAACCGGAAAAUUGCAAUUGAUACUGGCAGCCUAGAGUACAGUUGAGGUAGGCGGAAUUCGUGGUGUAGCGGUGAAAUGCAUAGAUAUCACGCAGAACCCCGAUUGCGAAGGCAGCAUACCGGUGCACAACUGACGCUCAGGCACGAAAGCGUGGGUAUCGAACAGGAUUAGAUACCCUUGUAGUC
RNAcentral lists this ribosomal RNA (460 nucleotides) under uncultured bacterium. Its description in RNAcentral is "partial 16S ribosomal RNA". It matches the Rfam family "Bacterial small subunit ribosomal RNA", at positions 338 to 795 of the family's 1533-position model. The record is from RNAcentral.